GUUUUUAUUCCCCAACUCUUCUUAACCUAGGACAGCCUCUCCUGCUUCUCCGCCCUGGAUGCUCCGGAGCGCAGAUGAUGACAGAAGGAAGAAGAACACCAGGAGGGAAUUCUGAGGAGGGACAGGUCGUAUUUUGAUUGCCUCUGACUUAUUGAGAGACAGAGUCAGGCACAAAUAUUCAGCAAGGCUUCAUACCACAGUCCACUCCCAGUCUGAGCCGCACAGUCAAAAGCGCAUCACAAAGAACAGAUCGUACGUACGCGCGUAUGUGUCAUUACUUAACGAAAAGAUCUGAA
Long non-coding RNA from Tupaia belangeri chinensis (Chinese tree shrew), 296 nucleotides. RefSeq lists it as uncharacterized. Lineage: Eukaryota; Metazoa; Chordata; Mammalia; Scandentia; Tupaiidae. The record is from RefSeq and is a predicted model, not a curated record. The transcript has 3 exons.